AUGCUCUGCCCGGUGAGGGCUUGUUCUGUUAGACCCGACUGGGGUUCGAAACCCGAUCUGGCUUGUAACAGGCUUCGGUUAUACCUCGUCCAGUACGAGAGGAGGAGAGGCGUGAGCGACGGCGGGCCUGCAGCAGAUCCACAUGCGCGGCGGCCUUCUCCGGCGCGAGCACGAUGGGAGCGGACGGCAGCAGCGUGCCCCAGAGGCGUCCUACUAUUGCGUCCGAGAGAGGUGACGACGGCGUCCACACCUACGAUGUUGGAUUUCUCGCUGCAAGGCCACAAGAGGACAACAUGCCCAGACCGGGGCGAUGUUCCAAAACCAGUAAGGAGACCUGCUCGAUGCAAGAACUGUGGUGUGGAAGGCCAUAUAGGCAUAACAAGUGCCACAAGGUUGGGGAGCUACGCCUAA
RNAcentral lists this ribosomal RNA (411 nucleotides) under Triticum aestivum (bread wheat). Its description in RNAcentral is "partial small subunit ribosomal RNA". The record is from RNAcentral. Lineage: Eukaryota; Viridiplantae; Streptophyta; Magnoliopsida; Poales; Poaceae.